UUAAGUUCAGCGGGUAUCCCUACCUGAUUCGAGGUCAAACUGGGGGGUUCUUGCUGGACGCGAGCCCGCCGGGAGCCUUCUUGAGCGCAAUGUGCUGCGCGAGAAGCCGGCGAUGCCGCUGCCAAUGGAUUUGGGGCGAGUCCUCGCUAAAAGCGGGGACAGACGCCCAACACCAAGCGUAGCUUGAGGGUGUAAAUGAC
This 200-nucleotide unclassified non-coding RNA is filed under the name Pleosporales sp. Its description in RNAcentral is "partial internal transcribed spacer 2". The record is from RNAcentral. Lineage: Eukaryota; Fungi; Ascomycota; Dothideomycetes; Pleosporales.